RNAcentral lists this long non-coding RNA (2549 nucleotides) under Venturia canescens. RNAcentral's name for it is "uncharacterized LOC122418497". The record is from RNAcentral. Lineage: Eukaryota; Metazoa; Arthropoda; Insecta; Hymenoptera; Ichneumonidae.
AGAGUCUUGCCCAGAGUGAUCAUCAUCAUCAUAUAUGAUAUUCUUCUUUCUUCAUGGCUUUCAUAAAGUUAGCCGGGCAACUUUGAAUUUUCAACUUUUUUUAUAAUUAACCCUCCGUUGACACACAUAUUUUUCUCGCACCUCGGAUCCCUAUACACACAUGGGUCAGCAGUUUCAUACCAUGUUUUCCCAUACCUAGACUCGUUUAAAAAAUCUGAAAAAAUUCAGGAAUGUAGUUUGAUAUCUAUAGAAAGAGAACAUGCGUUAGGAAAUGGAUAAAAAUUAAUCUUUAUUAUUUUUAUUCAAUGAAAAAUGAUACAAAGAAUGAGAAAUUUAGAAACAGUCCGGACACCACAGACAGACCCAUGUGUGUCAACGGAGGGCCAUCAUAUCUCAAGGUGGUCGCGUGGUGGUCGGUGGUAGCGCAAUUAAAAUGCUUGGUGGUUUUUUUUAUUUUUAAUAAAUACAUCAUUUUUAUUUUUAGCAUUAAAUUAGCCGUCCAAAAUUAAUUUUAUAAAUCGUGAAACGCAAUUUACAUACGAGUUUUACUGUUUGUCAGUUACAAAUAUGGGUCUAAAAUUUUUACGGAAUUCUCAACUUCGGUUUUUUAGAGUUCUUAUGACCAAACAAACAUUGUCAAACGAUUGGCGUUGAGAAAAAUGUUUAAAGUUGAAAUAUAUAGGGGCGCUAAUGGCCGUUUUCUCCGACGCGGUUCAAACUCAGUUCAAUUUUUUUCAUAUAGUUUCGAGAUAGGAUGAACCGAGUUUAAACUCAGAUUAACGUUGGAGAAAACGGGCAUAAGAGUUUAAGCAACUGAGAGAGAUGCAGUGUGUGUGAUGGCGACGACGGGUACGUUACGUUUUGGCGCCGCCGUUUGGGCGCGAGGAUAUUUUUCGAUAAAUUAUGCAUAAAUAAUGUAACAAUGCUGUUGAUUAUAUUUCAGGAGAUCAAGAGUUGGGAAAUGGCGUGCCACUUUGACAGUUGAUAGGGGAGAACGAAAACCUGGUGAGAGAGGCGGCCCGUUCACCCUCCCCAAACAAGAUCGAUGACGGGUUCUUGCCGCAUAGGACCCCGCAGUCGUUACACAAUAACUUUCAAAAAUCUAUUCUUCCAAAUAUCGAAAAUUUCGAAAUACUAACUGUCGACGAGAGACAGCUAUUUUUGCAGUUGAGAGAAAAUAAAAGACGGCGCAGAUGCGCAGAUAAAAGUUGACAAAAUAAAAAAAAAAGAACUCAACUUAUAUAUUUUUUCAACUUAUUAUUUUUUCAACUCAUUAUUUUUGUUUUAUCCGUCGGUCAAGUAAAUAACGCCGCGUCUUCAUCGCUAUUUUCAUUAAGAGCUCUCUAGUCGAGAUAUUGCCACGAACUCGUGACGUAUGGCAAAUAAAUGAGUUUAGGCUGUGACUCCACGAGUAAAAUCUAAACUUUAAAAACAACAAAAAAUAUUUUUUCUUUUUUUCUUUUUUAGUUAUAAGUUUCUCAAUGAUACAUUGAGCUCUGAUUGAAAUAAAAAAAAAAAUCAAAGCAUUAAAAACAUGAAAAAAUAUAUUUUUUUAUUUUUCUUUUUUAGUCGUAAGUUUCUCAAUAAAACCUUGAACUCGCAAAAGAGCAAAAAAACGAUUGCGACAGAGUCGUUCAAUACCUUAUUUAAUACACAUCAUCGUGUUGAUCGAGCGAAAGCCCUUGAGAAUGAGAGAGUACAAAAUCAAAACUAUUGUUAAGUGUAUUGUUAUUGGAUUAAAGUUUUGCAAAAUUUGCUCGACAAUUGCUACACGAGUUUGUUUUUUUCCUUCCGAAGACAACAUAUAUUUUUUGACAACUUGCAUGAAAUGACCAAAUCACACGUGGACUCAUAAACGUUCAGCAGUUCGGAAAUUGUUUCAACGCCCGAAUCUUCGAGAACAACAAUUCACAGUUUCCAACAAAGUCUGAUGGAAGUGAUCGAGGAAACUAAAGAUGAUGGGGAUUGAAAUACGAGAGUAGAGAACGUGAUAAAUGGAAAGAGAAGAGAAACGCCGAGGCAGGAUGCAACGAAGAUCCAGCAGGUUGAGCAAGCUUUCGCAAUUGCACCGCGCGAGUUUCAAUGACAUUCCGACAAGAAUCUAAGGCUUGUUCGUUUCGUUGGAAAAUUUCGAUAUUCCCGGUUCGCUGGAAGUGGUGCAUUCACGUAAUUUUUUUUCGUGCUCGAGCAGCAAUCGAUUUUCCCCGGUUGUUUUUAAUCCCGCAAAUAUCGAUAGACGAAUCGAAGUUUUUCACAGUCGCAGCUUGUCUCAUUGAACUUUGUUGGAUUUACCGUCAAGUCGAGGACCUAGAGAGAACAAAAUCUCAAACUGUUUAAAAAUAAAAAGGUUGAAAGUUAUUUGCAAUAAGAGGAGCGAAACAAAUGAAAUUUCUUUUUAAUUUGGAAUUGGUCUAUUUGAAUUUUAUUAGAGGAUAAUUACAAUAUGUACGUUGAUGUCCAUCUUUUGCUUAUGAUUGGAAAUAAUUGAGUGUUGGAAAGAGAUUCGUAAUCGUUGUUUUUAAGUGAAUAAUAAAAAAAUUUUAUAUUUG